This 402-nucleotide ribosomal RNA is filed under the name uncultured prokaryote. RNAcentral describes it as "bacterial SSU rRNA". It matches the Rfam family "Bacterial small subunit ribosomal RNA", at positions 355 to 774 of the family's 1533-position model. The record is from RNAcentral.
UGGGGAACAUUGGACAAUGGGGGCAACCCUGAUCCAGCCAUGCCGCGUGAGUGAUGAAGGCCUUAGGGUUGUAAAGCUCUUUCGUCAGGGAAGAUAAUGACGGUACCUGAAGAAGGAGCCCCGGCUAACUUCGUGCCAGCAGCCGCGGUAAUACGGAGGGUGCAAGCGUUAAUCGGAAUUACUGGGCGUAAAGCGCACGUAGGCUGUAGUGUAAGUCAGGGGUGAAAUCCCACGGCUCAACCGUGGAACUGCCUUUGAUACUGCACAACUUGAAUCCGGGAGAGGGUGGCGGAAUUCCAGGUGUAGGAGUGAAAUCCGUAGAUAUCUGGAGGAACAUCAGUGGCGAAGGCGGCCACCUGGACCGGUACUGACGCUGAGGUGCGAAAGCGUGGGGAGCAAACA